This is a long non-coding RNA of Oncorhynchus keta (chum salmon), 3811 nucleotides long. RefSeq lists it as uncharacterized. Lineage: Eukaryota; Metazoa; Chordata; Actinopteri; Salmoniformes; Salmonidae. The transcript has 7 exons. The record is from RefSeq and is a predicted model, not a curated record.
GUGACUGAGUGUGUGACAGAAAAUAAAUUGUUUUUGUGUUAUUUAGAGGGAAAUGCGUGCAUUUUAGCUUUUCAAAUGUUGUUAAAAGUUCCAAAUACAUUUUUAAAGUAGCUAAAUUUGUUGCUAGGUGCUGUUUGAAAAAAACGUUGCCAGGGUAGUCUUAAAAAAAAGCAGGAAAGUAUUAGUAUGGAGUUGGGUAUAUCUUCGGGACAGAAUUGUCGUGUUGAAUUAGCAGGUUAGGAGGAAGGAGUCGCAAUCAUUAUAGUGAAUACAGUAGGCAUCCAGGCUGAUUCGUUUGGAUUGGAGGAGCUGUUGAGCUGUUCUUAUCAACAUUGAGCCGGCGUGUUAGACGUUUCUGUUGUUGUGUUACUGAGAGGCUGUCUGUUUGUUUUGUCUGCAGAUCAUUCUGGGGGAAACGGGAGCAGUUGGACAUGAGAUCAUUUCCUGGGCGGCUGGCUAUGUAUUUUACAGUCUCAAACCCGAUAUCCGCACUUGCAUACUACGUUGUAUGUGAUUAUGUAUUGGCCAUGCAUGCAAAGUAGAAAACACUGACCAAAUAACUACUCACAAAAUUGUUUUGUUUCCCCACAACUCACAAAACUGUUCUUGAGACACUAAAAACAGGCACUUAAAACGCAUGGAAAACAUGACGGUUUACUUGUCAUAAUUGUGUCAGUAGCUAACUUAGGUUUCCAUCCAAUUGUCGACAGGUUUUCAUGCAAAUAUUCUAAAAUCUGCGUAAAGUAUUUUCCCACCAGUGUUGUGUUUCUAAUUGCUGUAAUUACAGUAAUGGCACUGAUUAUGUAUUGUACGCCAAAUUUAUUUUUCCGUUUAUGUUUUAAUAAAUAUUCAAACUGUUUCCAUCGCAUUUUCAACUCCACCGAUAGUUUUGUCACACAAACUGUUGUGUUAAAUAGCAAAUGUUCCUACUCUGGUCUUUGCAUGUGUGCUCUAGCCAACAGCUCGCACAAACGCUGCGGCUAGGCUAGUCGACAUGAUGAUAUUAUUAUGGAGAAGAGCAAGAUUAUUUUUAUUUACAAAACGGCAGUCAAGCUUCAAUCAUCAUGCCACCAGAAUAAGACCCUCGAUAUCUAUUGGAAAGGAGAUCACUGUGUACUUUCAACACCCUGUGAAGUUCCCCAUCAUUUAUUUAAUCUGUAGUCUAAUAAACUGUAUGGUUUCCCGAGUCAUAGUGGGAAGACCACACACCAUAUCCUUGUGACUCCAAAUUGACUUUGGCAUGAUGGCUAUUAUAUUAAUAUUUCUGCAUAAAGGUGUUUCCACCACCAUUUCUUUCAUAAUUCAUAUUACAGACACAAAAAGAUCUCACCAUGUCAACAAAAUUGUAUAUGGUAUGACUUUACUUAACUGGAUAGAAGCGUGGUUUAUGCGUCUUAUCUGUGCAUUACUUUUAAUUUGAGUUUCUUCUCCUUUAAAGGGAAGACCUGCACAAAAUAGAUGCCAUGUUUUUUUGCCCACCAGAGGGCAGAAGCCUGCAUGACAAGGGCUCUGCCUGCCUCCUUUGGAAUCUACUUGUACUGCUGUUCAGCCAAAAUGGAGUAGGUGAACAUCUCUUCACGCUCUUAUAUUAGGUGAAACCCCUUUCUCUUAUUGCUCUUGAAAUAUCACAAAUUGGCCAAGAUGGCCCAAACUACACGCAACAAACAUCUAUUGUUAUCCCAGUCUGUGGAAGUUGGAUUAUCAGCAUUAUCUGUGAAGCGCUGUGCCCACCCACAAACUCAUUCUAACAUUACCCUUUUUUUAAAAUCUCCAUGGAUUCAUUCAGCGUAUUGUUGGCUCAGACAUGGCAGAGCUGCUGAUGAGGAACUCUCAGGGACAAUAUGGUUCAGGAGGCAGUGAAGGCUCAGAGGCCCCUACCCUAAUAGAUCUGAGCGAGGGCCCCAGUCCUGAGACAAACGCCUUGGAUGGAGCAGACCUACUAACAGGGGCAGCCACUAGUGUCUGUAUAGCUGAGUUCACAGAGAAGGAUAUGCAGGGAUACGCCAAGCUUCUCCUGUCUGGACGGAAGAAGGUCAGGGUAAACUCUCUGUUCCUGUCUCAGUUUGUCGGUCUGUGUCUUUCUCUUUUUUGGUCUCGCUCCUCACUGUUCCCCUCUCUAUUUAUAUCAGAGAUAUUUAGUAAGAUUAAUGGUAAAGUAAUCUCCUAUGUAUUCUGAGAGUAAUAGAUGGUGUAUGACACUGAUUAAAACCACAAAGACAGCAUAGUUGACACAUUACUGUCUGACUAAUGUUACACCAGGACUAUCCUCUUACUCCUCCAACACUAACCCCUGACACUGUGUUCUUCUGCAACCCUUCCACGUCUCCUCCAUGUUCUUUCACACCUCCUUCACCCCUGCCCUAUGCCUCCAUCAUAACUCCUAAUUUCUCCACCAGAUACUUUAGACUCACAGAUCCCCCUCUGCUAGCUCUCCCACAUGUCCCUUACACCUCCCCAUGCCUCCCCACGUCUCCCCCCACAGUUCCUUCACACCUCCCCCACACCUUCCCAUCGUUCCUUCACGCCUUCCCAUGCCUCCCUCCACGCCUCAUUCACAUCUCCUCCACAUCACCUUUAUGGUUCUUUCGCAUGAGGCCCUAGAGUCGGCCAUGAAGAGUGGACUGUGGGGACACGCACUGUGUGGAACAGGUUUGCAGACCAGCUAGCUCCCAGCGAUCCGCUUCAGACCCUUUUUCAGCUGCUCUCUGGGAGGAUCCCUGCUGUUUCCAUGAUGCUAUGGUUAAAACGCAUGCAUUUGCUUAGAUGGGGAGCUGCGGUUGUAGUGAAACAUACCUGUCACCAGCAGAGGGCCAAUGAGGAGAGCAGAGUAUAUUCAGAAUCAGGCACCGGUGACCUUUCAGUGAGGGGUGAUGCACGUGCUGGCACAGCAGAUCAACGUCCCACCUCUGCUGCCAGUCAUGGCUUCUUACACUCAGCUUGCAGUGCCCCUUGUGGCAGGAGGUCAGGACUACAGUUACCACAACACAGACACUGUCUAUGCUCAGCUUCAGCAUCAGCGUCCUUAAGCCACGUUAGAGGCUGAUCAUUCUUCUGGCCCAGGCAUGACACAAACAUCAAAAGUGCCAUCCUGGGAAAGAGUGCAAGGACGUCAGGUGUCAAUGUUAUUUCUUCUUUCUUCUCUUAUUAACAUACUAGGACGUGAUUAUAGCCUAUUCCCCAGGUCGUUGCUGUAAAUGAGAAUGUUUUCUCAGUCAACUUACCUGGUUGAAUAGUGGUAAAAUAAAAAAUUAUUAAAAAGAAAAGCCUCAUUUAUACCUGGUGCAAACAUGAAUCCUUUGUCCUGAUCUUGUCCACAUGAUGAUUGUGCCCACAUUUUCAGAUAUGCACCUACACAUUAAAAGGUGUCUUAUUUGUCCACUGUGUCAGCAUUGUGACCAGAUUUUCUGGUCCCUCCCUGUAUGCUAAAUUUUUUGACGGAUAUUCUUUCAAAAUAACAUUUAUUUAUUUAUUUUAAGACACCAGUGCUGCCUCCUCAGAGGAGGAGGGGAGGACCAUCCUACUCAGUGAAUUUCGGGAAAGUUUUUAAAUAGUUACACAUAAAGAAGUUCUCCUUUUUAGAUAAAACUACACAAAAUAUAUCCACUUGACCAAAAAACUGAUUAAAACACACUGUUUUGAAACGAAAGUCUACAGUAUUCUCAACAGCACCCUCUGGGGUAGCAUUAUGGUGUAGCCGGAGGACAUCCUCCUCUGGGUACAUUGACUUCAAUACAAAAACCUAGGAGGCUCAUGGUUCUAACCCCUUCCAUAGACUUGCACAGUAAUUAUGAAAACUUGUAGAGGACAGAGC